UCAGCCACACAAGAAGGUAAGCUCAAUGCAAGCAAGAACUUUGUGUUUUCACUUGCACACAUCCAUCUCUUAAAGAAGUGCCUGGCUCAGGGUUGGAACUCAAUUAUUUCCAAAAUAAGUCAAUGAAUGAAUAUCUUUUAUGCAAAAAAUUCAUCUAAAAACAGCAGUUUUGUUUAGUUAAUUUCAAUAAAGAACUAGUAAUACAGUCUUCCAUUUGUGGAUGUCAUUAAAAAUGGAAUUUUUAAACUUGAAUUUUGUGUCUCCUUUACAGGCAAUGUCAUGAUUGUUAGACGUUAUUCCAUUUCCUCACCGAUUCAUUCAUCAACUACAAGUGACCCUUGGAAGACUAGGAGAAGACAUCCAAACUGUGGAAUUCUAGAAGUUCAAGGGAUGGUCAAAUCACUGGCUUCUUCAGUUAAGAAACAAGACAAUGAAGAAAAGAUGUUUACCUCGGAUUCUUUCACUACCAAUGGUUGCAGCAAAGGAGUCUUUCCUGAGCAUGAUUUUGGUUACAGGGACAAGAUAAAGACAGUUGGUUUCCUGUUACCCAUGAACAUGUCUUCAUACUCCAAAGAUUCAAGUUCUUUGAAAUACUCACCAAACCAGCUAAGUACUAUUAUAGAAUAGGAUACUCAAGGUGGUGAAAUUUAAGACACAGAUGUGAGAACACUGAGACGUGGUUGGGUCAGUGUCCCCCCCCGCAAAAAGCUCUGAGAAGAUACUCACUAAGGGCUUUCAAUAGCUGAGUCCAAGAUCUCUCUUAGUAAAUGUUGCACUGCACUUGAAAAUAUGUGGGUUAUUGUCAAAUAUCUUUUGAUAUUGAUUUCUAAUAUAACUCCACAGUGAUAAGGGCACAGACUCGGUAUGGUUUCAAUAGCUUUGGGCUGUGAAGUUUUUGCACCUUGUUUUAUGUCUGUGGAUCUGUUCCAGGGUCUCCUAGUUUACAGCCUAUGGAAACCUGAAUAGAAGUAAGUUCCGCCUGUCGUGUGAAAAUUGUAUAAAUCUUAAUUAUGUUGAAUUGGUUCACAGUGCUUUAGGGUCUACUAUAUCUUUCUACUUCUCUGCAUGUUCAUUCUAUUAAUUUUUGAGAGUUUGAUAUUGAAACUCCAAUUUAAAAAUCUUCAUUUAUCUACUUUUAAAAAUAACUGUAAUUUGUAGUGGAAAUAUAUUGGAAUAUAGUGGAAAUAAACUUGUUCUGUAUUUUCCAAGUCUCCCAUAAAUGUGUUAUCAUACUUUCAUUAUUUAAAAAAGAAAAAUAAAAAGAUGUUCACUAAGACACAUAAAAUACCCAGCGUUGGCUUAAUGGAAUUGUCAAAGGACCUGAGCAAGAAAUGGAAGUCAUUACUUCAUGUUGUCACUGAAUAUUAAUGAUGUGUGCACAGUGGCUGUGGUAGUCCCUCUAUGCAGCCUCUGAGCAAAUAAAUAAAAUUAAAUUAAAUUGCUUGCUAAGUGUUCAGUAUCUGUGUAAUUCUUCUGUUCCCAUUAUGGGUCACUCUCCAGAUGAAACUAUAACACAUCUAGGAAAAAAAUUCUAUAUCUGGCUAAUAACAUAGAAGCCAUAGUGAUU
This 1567-nucleotide long non-coding RNA is filed under the name Ovis aries (sheep). RNAcentral describes it as "lncRNA (ENSOARG00000025851.1)". Lineage: Eukaryota; Metazoa; Chordata; Mammalia; Artiodactyla; Bovidae. The record is from RNAcentral.